AAUAUUGCACAAUGGGCGCAAGCCUGACCCAGCAACGCCGCGUGGAGGACGAAGGUCUUCGGAUCGUAAACUCCUGUCAGGCGGGACGAAGGCAUCCGGGCAAAUAGUCUGGAUGCUUGACGGUACUGCCAGAGGAAGCCCCGGCUAACUCCGUGCCAGCAGCCGCGGUAAUACGGAGGGGGCGAGCGUUAUUCGGAAUUAUUGGGCGUAAAGGGCGCGUAGGCGGCCCGGUAAGUCAAAGGUGAAAUCCCUCGGCUCAACUGAGGAACUGCCUUUGAAACUGUCGGGCUUGAGGCCGGGAGGGGGUAGCGGAAUUCCCAGUGUAGCGGUGAAAUGCGUAGAUAUUGGGAGGAACACCGGUGGCGAAGGCGGCUACCUGGACCGACAUUGACGCUGAGGCGCGAAAGCCAGGGGAGCAAA
RNAcentral lists this ribosomal RNA (420 nucleotides) under uncultured bacterium. Its description in RNAcentral is "bacterial SSU rRNA". It matches the Rfam family "Bacterial small subunit ribosomal RNA", at positions 360 to 772 of the family's 1533-position model. The record is from RNAcentral.